AAUAAAAUAGCUCGGUCUGUAGAGCAUGAGACCCUUAAUCUCAGGGUCAUAGGUUUGAGCUCCGUUUUGAGCAAAUAAUUA
Non-coding RNA from Podarcis lilfordi (Lilford's wall lizard), 81 nucleotides. The record is from the annotation of a GenBank genome assembly. NCBI's taxonomy places the organism in Eukaryota, Metazoa, Chordata, Lepidosauria, Squamata, Lacertidae.